GUGGGGAAUAUUGGACAAUGGGCGCAAGCCUGAUCCAGCCAUGCCGCGUGAGUGAUGAAGGCCUUAGGGUUGUAAAGCUCUUUCAGUGGGGACGAUAAUGACGGUACCCACAGAAGAAGCCCCGGCUAACUUCGUGCCAGCAGCCGCGGUAAUACGAAGGGGGCUAGCGUUGUUCGGAUUUACUGGGCGUAAAGCGCACGUAGGCGGGUCGUUAAGUCGGGGGUGAAAUCCUGGAGCUCAACUCCAGAACUGCCUUCGAUACUGGCGACCUAGAGUCCGGAAGAGGUGAGUGGAACUCCUAGUGUAGAGGUGGAAUUCGUAGAUAUUCGCAGGAACACCAGUGGCGAAGGCGGCUUACUGGUCCAUUACUGACGCUGAGGUGCGAAAGCGUGGGGAGCAAGCAGGAUUAGAUACCCUGGUAGUCC
RNAcentral lists this ribosomal RNA (425 nucleotides) under uncultured bacterium. Its description in RNAcentral is "partial 16S ribosomal RNA". It matches the Rfam family "Bacterial small subunit ribosomal RNA", at positions 354 to 796 of the family's 1533-position model. The record is from RNAcentral.